Molecule: non-coding RNA, 28 nt
Filed under: Mus musculus (house mouse)
Lineage: Eukaryota; Metazoa; Chordata; Mammalia; Rodentia; Muridae
Source: RNAcentral
UAACCAUGACGUUUCACUUGCCAGUUGG